UACAGAGGCCUCGAGCGUUAGGCGGAAUCACUGGGCUUAAAGCGUGUGUAGGCGGAUGUCUAAGUGCUUUGUGAAAUCCCACGGCUCAACCGUGGAAUGGCUUGGCAUACUGGACGUCUUGGGCCACCUAGGGGCGAGCGGAACAGACGGUGGAGCGGUGAAAUGCGUAGAUAUCGUCUGGAACGCCUAUGGUGAAAACAGCUCGCUGGGGGUGAGCCGACGCUGAGACACGAAAGCCAGGGGAGCGAACGGG
RNAcentral lists this ribosomal RNA (253 nucleotides) under uncultured microorganism. RNAcentral's name for it is "partial small subunit ribosomal RNA". It matches the Rfam family "Bacterial small subunit ribosomal RNA", at positions 524 to 776 of the family's 1533-position model. The record is from RNAcentral.